RNAcentral lists this ribosomal RNA (2926 nucleotides) under Salmonella enterica subsp. enterica serovar Senftenberg. RNAcentral describes it as "23S ribosomal RNA". It matches the Rfam family "Bacterial large subunit ribosomal RNA". Lineage: Bacteria; Pseudomonadati; Pseudomonadota; Gammaproteobacteria; Enterobacterales; Enterobacteriaceae. The record is from RNAcentral.
GGGUUGUGAGGUUAAGCGACUAAGCGUACACGGUGGAUGCCCUGGCAGUCAGAGGCGAUGAAGGACGUGCUAAUCUGCGAUAAGCGCCGGUAAGGUGAUAUGAACCGUUAUAACCGGCGAUUUCCGAAUGGGGAAACCCAGUGUGAUUCGUCACACUAUCAUUAACUGAAUCCAUAGGUUAAUGAGGCGAACCGGGGGAACUGAAACAUCUAAGUACCCCGAGGAAAAGAAAUCAACCGAGAUUCCCCCAGUAGCGGCGAGCGAACGGGGAGGAGCCCAGAGCCUGAAUCAGCAUGUGUGUUAGUGGAAGCGUCUGGAAAGGCGCGCGAUACAGGGUGACAGCCCCGUACACAAAAGCGCACAUGCUGUGAGCUCGAUGAGUAGGGCGGGACACGUGGUAUCCUGUCUGAAUAUGGGGGGACCAUCCUCCAAGGCUAAAUACUCCUGACUGACCGAUAGUGAACCAGUACCGUGAGGGAAAGGCGAAAAGAACCCCGGCGAGGGGAGUGAAAAAGAACCUGAAACCGUGUACGUACAAGCAGUGGGAGCACCCUUUGGGGUGUGACUGCGUACCUUUUGUAUAAUGGGUCAGCGACUUAUAUUCUGUAGCAAGGUUAACCGUAUAGGGGAGCCGCAGGGAAACCGAGUCUUAACCGGGCGUUAAGUUGCAGGGUAUAGACCCGAAACCCGGUGAUCUAGCCAUGGGCAGGUUGAAGGUUGGGUAACACUAACUGGAGGACCGAACCGACUAAUGUUGAAAAAUUAGCGGAUGAUCUGUGGCUGGGGGUGAAAGGCCAAUCAAACCGGGAGAUAGCUGGUUCUCCCCGAAAGCUAUUUAGGUAGCGCCUCGUGAAUUCAUCUCCGGGGGUAGAGCACUGUUUCGGCUAGGGGGCCAUCCCGGCUUACCAACCCGAUGCAAACUGCGAAUACCGGAGAAUGUUAUCACGGGAGACACACGGCGGGUGCUAACGUCCGUCGUGAAGAGGGAAACAACCCAGACCGCCAGCUAAGGUCCCAAAGUCAUGGUUAAGUGGGAAACGAUGUGGGAAGGCCCAGACAGCCAGGAUGUUGGCUUAGAAGCAGCCAUCAUUUAAAGAAAGCGUAAUAGCUCACUGGUCGAGUCGGCCUGCGCGGAAGAUGUAACGGGGCUAAACCAUGCACCGAAGCUGCGGCAGCGACACUGUGUGUUGUUGGGUAGGGGAGCGUUCUGUAAGCCUGUGAAGGUGUGUCGUGAGGCAUGCUGGAGGUAUCAGAAGUGCGAAUGCUGACAUAAGUAACGAUAAAGCGGGUGAAAAGCCCGCUCGCCGGAAGACCAAGGGUUCCUGUCCAACGUUAAUCGGGGCAGGGUGAGUCGACCCCUAAGGCGAGGCCGAAAGGCGUAGUCGAUGGGAAACGGGUUAAUAUUCCCGUACUUGGUGUUACUGCGAAGGGGGGACGGAGAAGGCUAUGUUGGCCGGGCGACGGUUGUCCCGGUUUAAGCGUGUAGGUGUGUGUUCCAGGUAAAUCCGGUUCACUUUAACACUGAGGCGUGACGACGAGGCACUACGGUGCUGAAGCAACAAAUGCCCUGCUUCCAGGAAAAGCCUCUAAGCAUCAGGUAACAUCAAAUCGUACCCCAAACCGACACAGGUGGUCAGGUAGAGAAUACCAAGGCGCUUGAGAGAACUCGGGUGAAGGAACUAGGCAAAAUGGUGCCGUAACUUCGGGAGAAGGCACGCUGACACGUAGGUGAAGUGAUUUACUCAUGGAGCUGAAGUCAGUCGAAGAUACCAGCUGGCUGCAACUGUUUAUUAAAAACACAGCACUGUGCAAACACGAAAGUGGACGUAUACGGUGUGACGCCUGCCCGGUGCCGGAAGGUUAAUUGAUGGGGUCAGCGCAAGCGAAGCUCCUGAUCGAAGCCCCGGUAAACGGCGGCCGUAACUAUAACGGUCCUAAGGUAGCGAAAUUCCUUGUCGGGUAAGUUCCGACCUGCACGAAUGGCGUAAUGAUGGCCAGGCUGUCUCCACCCGAGACUCAGUGAAAUUGAACUCGCUGUGAAGAUGCAGUGUACCCGCGGCAAGACGGAAAGACCCCGUGAACCUUUACUAUAGCUUGACACUGAACAUUGAGCCUUGAUGUGUAGGAUAGGUGGGAGGCUUUGAAGUGUGGACGCCAGUCUGCAUGGAGCCGACCUUGAAAUACCACCCUUUAAUGUUUGAUGUUCUAACGUGGACCCGUAAUCCGGGUUGCGGACAGUGUCUGGUGGGUAGUUUGACUGGGGCGGUCUCCUCCUAAAGAGUAACGGAGGAGCACGAAGGUUGGCUAAUCCUGGUCGGACAUCAGGAGGUUAGUGCAAUGGCAUAAGCCAGCUUGACUGCGAGCGUGACGGCGCGAGCAGGUGCGAAAGCAGGUCAUAGUGAUCCGGUGGUUCUGAAUGGAAGGGCCAUCGCUCAACGGAUAAAAGGUACUCCGGGGAUAACAGGCUGAUACCGCCCAAGAGUUCAUAUCGACGGCGGUGUUUGGCACCUCGAUGUCGGCUCAUCACAUCCUGGGGCUGAAGUAGGUCCCAAGGGUAUGGCUGUUCGCCAUUUAAAGUGGUACGCGAGCUGGGUUUAGAACGUCGUGAGACAGUUCGGUCCCUAUCUGCCGUGGGCGCUGGAGAACUGAGGGGGGCUGCUCCUAGUACGAGAGGACCGGAGUGGACGCAUCACUGGUGUUCGGGUUGUCAUGCCAAUGGCACUGCCCGGUAGCUAAAUGCGGAAGAGAUAAGUGCUGAAAGCAUCUAAGCACGAAACUUGCCCCGAGAUGAGUUCUCCCUGAGACUUAAAGUCUCCUGAAGGAACGUUGAAGACGACGACGUUGAUAGGCCGGGUGUGUAAGCGCAGCGAUGCGUUGAGCUAACCGGUACUAAUGAACCGUGAGGCUUAACCUUACAACGCCGAAG